GCGUUUUGUCCCGGCCGCACCCGAAAGAGGCGCCUCUUCUGUGGGUCGGUGGCCCUGGGAGGGAGAGGACCUAGCUGUUUCCCCUCGCUGGACUGCACUGAGCCCGCAACGGUUGGGGAGGGAGGGCAGUGCGGGCAGCGACUGGGGGCUGACAUCACUGCUCAGUCCCGACCGGCUCCCUCUGCCUCCGGCCGGCUUGAUCUCCAUCAGAAAAGAAUCGGAAGCCCAGCGGGCUUUUGCUUUUGUUCUCCCUGCUACUCUCGAUUCCUUUGAGAAACCCGGAUGGUUGGUUACCCAAAGAGGGGGUUGUGGUGAGAGUUCCAGGUGCUACCCUGAAGGGACAAUCACUGGAAGAGGCUCUUUCUAGCCCCAAGAUUUCGCCCAUCAAUACCCCGGAGCGGAGGUAGGUACUGCUUCCCAAAAGAGCGCGAUUCCUGCCGCGGCCG
Molecule: long non-coding RNA, 446 nt
Filed under: Rattus norvegicus (Norway rat)
Lineage: Eukaryota; Metazoa; Chordata; Mammalia; Rodentia; Muridae
Description: long non-coding RNA NONRATT013922
Source: RNAcentral